Molecule: long non-coding RNA, 1180 nt
Organism: Myxocyprinus asiaticus (Chinese sucker)
Lineage: Eukaryota; Metazoa; Chordata; Actinopteri; Cypriniformes; Catostomidae
Exons: 4
Source: RefSeq, a predicted model, not a curated record
UUAUGUAAAUGUCCACAUUGCCUCAAUAUAUAUGUGUCAAUAAAUCAAAUGUCAUUUUGACUGAUGGUUUUUCAAACCUAACAUGCUUCAAGAUGACAUCGCUCUGAAGUACCGUGCAAAAUUUCACCUUAAUAUGUCAAAAGAUGACUGAAUUACAGCUGUUUGAACUUGGGCCAAAUCUGACAAUGCUAGCGACUGGUUCUUUUUUUAUACAGAAACUGAAAGCAGAAAUACUCAGCAAUGUGAAUAGCUAAUUUGGUUAAGAUGUUGUACUGGUAAGUGAAGGGUCAGAGGUUCAAAUCCAGCCAUAGCCAUAAUUUUUUUGUUUAAGAUUCAGACAAAAAGACAUGUUUUUUAGGAUUCCUCCAUCGGGAGGGUUUAAUCCUUUCGCACGUAAAUUGUAAAUGAUUUAACUGAUACCCCCAGCAUGAAUUUUUUUUCGGUGGUUAUUUUACAACGUAUCAAAUUUUAAACUCCAGUGUGAUGCACCAAGCUUGUCACAUGACACUCUGGGCAGUCACAUGACGGUUCACCGCUGACUAGUCUCGCUUGGAGCUGGAGGACAGAGUAUAGGUAAGCGUUGCAAGUCAUGUUUUUUUUCUUCAGUUUAAAACCUUCCUCGUUGGUUUAAAACAUGUAUAAACUAUAAUAAAUGUUUUAACCACCGGUUUAUAUUGACAUUUAUUUCUUUUAUUUUCUCGGGCUUUGAAUUUCACUCCCACGUGUCACUCCAGCGCAUUACAGGAUUGCUACUGUUCUCAGUAAUGCUUUUGUGUGUGGUAUCAAAACAUGGGCUAACACAAAAGGGAGUGUUGCACAGCUCUCAUGUACUCGGCCCUGUAACAUGGCUGGGAGAAUGUGGGACUGGUAUACCAGUAUCCUUCCUCACAUUACAUCAGACAUAGAGAUCCCAAGCCUCUCAUAAUGGUGUAAACUGUUGAAAUGCCAGCCUGCCCUUCCACUUUGUCACUGAUUCAUCCAUGGAGAGGAACAAAAACAUGCUGAAAGAAGUGUUAUUCACUUGUAAGUUGUAAAUGUCCUGAGUCUGCGCGAUGUGAAGUACUAUGUUACUUGGCUCUGCUUCAUCAAGAGGCAUAAUAAAUGACAUAUUGAAUAAUAAUGAAAUGUUAGUUAGUAAUUUUAAGAACUACUUACAAAUUUCAUUAAAAAAAAACAACAA